UGUCCAUUCCUCCAAACAAACCGAUGGACGGCUCUAAAUUAAAUAAUAAACAAAGCAAAGAAAUUUAUAAACUGUCCACCUCCCACCUCGGUCCCCCAUCCCGCGCGCCUGCCCUCCGUCUGCAGUUGCUCCCCGGCUCGCGGGUCCUCCGCCUGCGCCCCCCACCCCAACCUUCCCGCGACACCCCACCUAUCCGGAU
RNAcentral lists this long non-coding RNA (199 nucleotides) under Elaeis guineensis (African oil palm). Its description in RNAcentral is "long non-coding RNA (EGUI_LNC074876)". The record is from RNAcentral. Lineage: Eukaryota; Viridiplantae; Streptophyta; Magnoliopsida; Arecales; Arecaceae.